This is an RNA transcript of Parasteatoda tepidariorum (common house spider), 2544 nucleotides long. RefSeq lists it as uncharacterized. The record is from RefSeq and is a predicted model, not a curated record. Lineage: Eukaryota; Metazoa; Arthropoda; Arachnida; Araneae; Theridiidae.
GAAGAAAUGACAAGGCGAAAUUUUCGCUGGGGGGAUGGGGGAUAAAUAAAAAAGAUUACAAAAAAAACGCAGAGAGUAAAAAUAAAAAUUCUUUAUUCUGGCACAUAUUAAUUGAUGUGGAGGGAAGGGGAAGGCGGGAAAUUAUAAUGUGGUCGGGGUAGAGGGGGAUGGGGGAGAAGAAAAGAGAAGGUGGUGGGGUGGAAGGUGAGGGGAGGUAUUCGCCAAAGCAAAAGGUAUCGAUCAAAAAGGCAAUGUGAGUGUGUGUGUGUAUCCGCGGAAAGUUGCUUUUCGAGCUGUCACUCAGAGAAGUGAAGGGGGAGUGAGCCUUUUUCUCCCAGCAGAGCCCGCGACGCAGACUGGUUGGACCGCCCGCCCGCCCUAGAGCACACUACCGCCCACCCAGAAUUCUUCCCCAGUGCGCUCUGGCGAUAGCUUUCCUUUUACCGGCACAGCGCCAGUGGAAGAGCCCAGUCGUAAUUCGCGCUCGCCAACUGAACAGUCAUAAACAAGUCAGCUCUUGACAUCUCUUGACGCGAUUGUUCUAAGUCAAUCGGAUGCGGCGCUCAUCUUAACCGUGUGCUUUGGCGAUCGUCGGCUUCGUCAAAUAGUGUUCGAACUUUGGAAUUUUUUUCGACUACACUACAUAGUGACUUAUCGAAAAAAUACAUUUAAAUUUAUGUAUAUUAAAAAAAACUGGACUUGUUAAAAGAAAAAUGGACAAAUAAUUAACGCCGAACAUGGACAUUUUUUGAAAAAAAAAUUCCCUUGCAUGCAAAACUUGGGAUUUUCGAAUUUUUCGAGGAGAAAUUCUUCGUAGAACUCAAAAUAGCUCAUAACACAUUUUAAUAGCGUUAGUUAUGUUACAUAUAUAAACUGUGAAAUUCUAUCGAACAUUUUCUGAGGGAACAUUUCGAACGUUUUCGCUUGUUUUUCCGACUGAAAUAAAAUGAGUUCUUAUCAGUUUGUGAACUCAUUAACUUCCUGCUACGGACAACGUAGCCAAGAUUCCUCGAGCCAGGACUAUUACACACCACAGGUGCAAGCUUACGGGGGAUGCUACAGCGGACCCGGUUCACCGGUACAGCAAUAUGGGCCCUAUCCUCAACACAAUGUAUCACAUUUACAAAAUGGAGAUCAUCAUUUCAACAGCUGCUCGCAAAACCGCAUGAGCCACCCGAACCCCAGUCAGAGUCCUCGUACCCCGACCCCCUCUGUUACUCCAGUGCCCAGUUGCAAGUAUGCUGAGCCCAGUGCUGCAUCUCCCCAAGAUUUGAGUACUAGCGGCUCCCACCCACCUCCAGCGGGGAGUCCGGAGUCUAGAACCUCCCCUCAACCCCCGAGGCAGGCCUCGCAGCACCCCUCACCCACGCAUUCUCAAGGGGUGCCCCCAUCGCAGCAGACAGCGAGUCAACAGGCUAGCCCACAGCAACAGAAUCAGGGCCCACAAGAUUCUUCGCCCCAAUCGGCACAACAGCAAGGGCAGCAGAAAUCGGCAUACCCAUCUAAUCCUCCACAGAUUUAUCCAUGGAUGAGGAAGGUUCAUGUCGGUCAGAAUGGUGUAAACGCAAUGGGAGAAACGAAACGACAGAGAACGUCCUACACUCGAUAUCAAACGUUGGAACUCGAGAAAGAAUUUCACUUUAACAGGUAUCUGACUAGGAGGCGGAGGAUUGAAAUUGCGCAUGCGCUCUGUCUAUCAGAACGACAGAUCAAGAUAUGGUUCCAAAAUAGGCGGAUGAAAUGGAAGAAGGAGCAUAAACUGGCAUCCACCAUGCCGCCACAGAUUCCUCAAGUCAUGGCUGACCAUCACCCACAUCAUCACCACCCCCAUCACCAUCACGCUCACCACUUACACGUGUGUUAAAAGCCUGUAAUAGAAGCGAAGAAGAUUUUAGUAGGCAUUUCAUUUGCUUUAAUUGAAAAAUUAAAGCAAAAACAACAUGUCUGUGCAUGUCUUUCAUUUAGUCUGAUGUAUGCAUGAUAGAACAAAAGUUUUGGUAAUAGUGAUGAAAACUUGAAUUCAAAAGUGAAAUUUUACGAUAAUCAUAUUCAUUGAAAUACUAUACAGCGCAAGCAAUCCUAUGAAAGACAGACUAUUUAAAUGUGCUCACUCAUUUCUAUAUAUAAAAAAAAUAAUAACAAUAAUAAUAAAGAUUCAGUUUCUGAAUCUUUAAGACUGUGAAGAACUUUCACUUGUUCCUGUGCAAACUUUAAAAGGGAUGUUUACUUGUACAAAAAAUGAACUCAAAUUUAAAUAAUGUAUAAAUGUAUUCCUACUUGUGUAGAAAAUAUUUAGUGUGAAAAUACUCCACCGGAUAAAAUUCAAUUAUCCGGAAAUGUUUCCUUUUCGAAACAGUUUUGAUUAAUUUAUCUGAAAUGAACGCUGAUGUGUCAGUGUUGUAAAAAAAUUGUAUUAUUAUUUCAUAUAGAACUUUGAUUAGUCCUGGUAAAAUCCCAAUGAUGAGCAUUGUUUAAUUUUUUUUUCUUUUAUCAAGUAAGUAAAUAGAAGUAAAGAAAAAGUAAAUGAAAAAAAAAAUUGCUAAA